Long non-coding RNA from Panicum virgatum (switchgrass), 1859 nucleotides. RefSeq lists it as uncharacterized. The transcript is spliced from 3 exons. The record is from RefSeq and is a predicted model, not a curated record. NCBI's taxonomy places the organism in Eukaryota, Viridiplantae, Streptophyta, Magnoliopsida, Poales, Poaceae.
CCCUUCCCCUCCCUCCCUCGCAACCCUCCUCAGAUCCCGCCGCCCCUCCGCCGCCGCCGCCUCCCACCUCCACUGCUGCCGCUUCUCCAGAUCCAAGCGCCGCGCCCGCCGUCCCCCUCUGUUCCCACGCCCUUGCCGAUUCGCUCGUCACCGCCGCUCCUCGUUGACCAAGGGUGUGGGUGCGGCCGCAUCCUCGUCGAUCCCUCCCUACGAGCGCGUGUUGGGGCUGGGGGCCAUGGUUGCCUUCCUGCUCUUGGUGGUGAUGCUGCCGGUGGCCGGACUGCAUGUGGAGGUGGGGAGACGGGCGGUGUUCGCCAAGCUCAGCGAUGGCGGCCGCGCCUCGGGUGAGGUCGUGUCCUCCUCGUUCUCAGAUCGACAAGGGCUCCCGCGCGCCUGGGUCGCGAUGUGUGGUCAAGCUUGACCCCCUCUUGUUUGAGGAUUGCGUCCACGCCGGAGAAAACAUCUACUGGCACAUCGGCAAGUUCGGCCACAUGCUUGCACGCUAGAUUUCUCCUCCCUAGCCUGGCCAUCUCCUCACCUCACCCGCCCUCCUCCUCGCCAUCCCCGCCCGGCGCCAAACCAUGGGGGCCUGGCCGGAACAGGAUCCAUCCAUGGCAGGCCUAGGUCCGACAGCCUCCUUGGCUUCGUGCUGCAAGGCGGCGCUGCAGGGAGCGGGCCGCUCGAGCCAGGCCAGCGCAUGCGUACCACUCGCCCGCGCCUGAGCCGCUUGCCUGCCUUACACGACUGGGAUCUAUGGUCUUUGCUUGGUCAGAGAAUUGCAGAUCUUUUUCCCCUGACUCUUUCUCUCUCUGAUAUGUCACCCAGUAGGAUUCAUUUGUGCUGCUGUGGUAAAGAAAUGAAGAAAAACCUUUCCUUAAAUCCCUGUAUGCAUGUUCCUUUCGAUUUCAUAGUGUGUAUAUCUGUAUGGUGAUUUUGUUCUCUUUUUACUACGUAUUUUGGAUGCCACUGAUGCCGUGUGAACAAACUGAGCCUAUGUUACUUUUCAGUUUUCACUUUUGUAGCAUUUCUAUAGAUGGCUUUUGAAGUAAAUAAUUUCUCCACUUCUAUAGAUGCAUUUUGAACAAUCUGAGCAUUUGUUUUGAACAAUAGAACCUGAAUUUCUAUCUACUGCAUCUGGUCUAUCGCAAAACAUUGCUCCACGAACUAGUAUGUGUUCUCUGGUUAAGUGAUUCCAUUUACCUGAUAGCAGUUAUUUACAGAUAAUUAUAGGUUGUUUUAGACCUUGUGUUUUUAUUGCCACUAUCAAAUGCACAUGCUUUAUCUUCAGUGAGUGAGUUUUUUCUGAAACUAUAGGUUUAUUUGUUGGCUGAGGGAUAUAACUAGAGCUUUAUUUCCUUUUUCUCUUAUAAAUGAAUAAAUGAGUUUUAUUUGUGAAUAUGACUAGUGGAGAGUUUAUGUUCAAAAUUCACCUUAGCAGCUAUGUCACUUUGUUUGGACUUAAAUCUGAUGAGAUGACUGAACUAAUCAUAAGUAUUUCUUUUCCCUUGUCAGGUUGCAUUACUACCGAGCAAGCUGAGCGUGAAAACCUAUGUGAUCUAUUGUUGGUGUUGCAGGUCUUGUUGGUGCUCUCGAACAUUUGCUCCUUUGCUUCUGGAAUCAAAUUGCUACUUGUAUCAUGUGCUUGGAUUUUUGGUGCUGUAGGUCCUGCUGGUGUGUAUUUUGGGUUGUUGUAUCUCUUUUCAAUGUAAACAUGAGAUUGUAUCCCUUAUUUUGGGCUGCUAAAAUUUUAUAUGUAUUUUAGGCUGUAAUGAUCAUUCUAGUGUAUGGUACGAGAAAUUGGAUUGAAUUCUGGUGUAUGGUAUGAGAAAUUGGAUUGAAUUGAUGAGCUCAAUUUUUAA